This 1282-nucleotide long non-coding RNA is filed under the name Mus musculus (house mouse). RNAcentral describes it as "long non-coding RNA chr8:36201892-36203174". Lineage: Eukaryota; Metazoa; Chordata; Mammalia; Rodentia; Muridae. The record is from RNAcentral.
AAAUAUUGUAGAUUUGUUUAUCUGUUUAGACAGUAUCUCCAUGAAGCCGGUACUACGUAGCUUAACAUUCACUAUGGAGCCAAAGUAGCCCUUGAACUCCCAGAGAUCUUCCUACCUCUUUCUCCCAGGUGAUGACAUUAAAUGUAUAAGCCACCAUACCCUGCAUCUCCCUAUUUCUUUCACUUUUUUUUUCUUUUUUUUCUAUAGCUAUACAGGAAUGCAAGCUUGACUGAAAAUUUUCUUCAGUAUUUUAAUCUGCAGUUGAUCAUCACGGCCAGUAGAUGGUGCUUGUGUCCCUACAAGGAAAAUUCUGGGCAGCAUUAAAUACGAGAAAUUUUUAGAAAUCUGGGAAUUUAAUGAAUCUCCAACUGAACCCAGUAGAGAAAUUAAGAAUAGUUAUUUCUUGAAACAAUUUUAUGACACCAGAAAAAAUAUCUCCACAAGUUCCUCUUUCUUCACAGGAAAACACAAUGCCUGAUGUCUGUCUAAACAUCCCACAUUUGAACUCUAAAUUUAUAUUUAAUAUCAUGGACAUGUGGUUUCAGUAAGGACACUGUGGAUGAUGCCCAGCUCAGACACAGAACUUGGAGGCUUUGAGCUGGAUCUAAUCUGAAGGCUGGCUUUCAGAGUCCUGGAAGGUAUAUUGCAAACUGCUAAGGCAAGCAGACAGCCAAUAAUCCUACACAGCUGUUACUGACACCCACGAACCGCAACAGUGACCAGCACAGCAAGAUGUCCCUACAGCUCAUGGAACAACAGUGUGCAUGUUCCUCAAAGAUCUCAAAAUAGAUCUACUAUAUUAUCCAGCUAUACCACUCUUGGGUGUAUACCCAAGGACUGUAUGUUCUACUACAGCGAGUCUGCUACCUGCUCAUUCAUAUUCAUGGUUGCUCUAUGUAUAAUGGCCAGUAAAUGGAAGCAGCCAAGAUGUCCAUAAUAAAAUGUGGUCUAUUUACAUAAUGGCAUAUUUCUCAGCUGUUAAGAAAAAAGAGGGAAUUCUAAGCAAAUGAACUGGAAACAAUUCUUCUGAGUGCUGUCGUUUUAGACACAGAGACCUCCGGAACUUAUGAUUCCAUGACAUCACUUAUGAAGUCUUGGUUCAGCCCCACCUUUCUUUCUUUCUCUUUUUAUUAGAUACUUUCUUUAUUUACAUUUCAAAUAUUAUCCCCUUUCCUUGUUUCCCUCCGAAAACCCACCCUUCCACCCACUCCCACUUCCUGGUCCUAGCGUUCCCCUACACUGGAGAAUCAAGCCUUCACAGGAUCAAGGACAUCUCCUCCCA